CCUGCCCAUUGAAUAAUAUUUAAAAGGCCGCGGUAUAUUAACUGUGCAAAGGUAGCAUAAUCAUUAGUUUUUUAAUUGAAGGCUUGUAUGAAGGGUUGGACAAAGAAUAAUCUGUUUCUAUUUUUAUUUUUGAAUUUUACUUUUAAGUGAAAAGGCUUAAAUAUUUUUAAGGGACGAUAAGACCCUAUAAAUCUUUAUAUUAAAUUAAUUCUAAUUAGUUAAUAUUGUAAAGUUAAAUAGUAAUAUAAUAAGUAUUAUAUUGGGGUGAUAAGAAUAUAAUAAUUAACUGUUCUAAAUUAAAAACAAAUUUAUUUGAAAUUAAUAAUAGAUCCUUAAAAAAGAUUAAAAGUUCAAGUUACUUUAGGGAUAACAGCGUUAUUUUUUUUGAGAGUUCUUAUCGAAAAAAAAGUUUGCGACCUCGAUGUUGAAUUAAAAUUUCUUUAUAAUGCAGUAGUUAUAAUAGAAAGUCUGUUCGACUUUUAAAGGAGCUUGAGCA
RNAcentral lists this ribosomal RNA (496 nucleotides) under Munida leeuwin. RNAcentral describes it as "partial 16S ribosomal RNA". It matches the Rfam family "Bacterial large subunit ribosomal RNA", at positions 1858 to 2603 of the family's 2925-position model. The record is from RNAcentral. Lineage: Eukaryota; Metazoa; Arthropoda; Malacostraca; Decapoda; Munididae.